RNAcentral lists this ribosomal RNA (507 nucleotides) under Prasinoderma singulare. Its description in RNAcentral is "partial Bacterial large subunit ribosomal RNA". It matches the Rfam family "Bacterial large subunit ribosomal RNA", at positions 704 to 1210 of the family's 2925-position model. The record is from RNAcentral. Lineage: Eukaryota; Viridiplantae; Prasinodermophyta; Prasinodermophyceae; Prasinodermales; Prasinodermaceae.
GGAUGUACGACCCGAAGCCAGGCGAGCUUUCCAUUUCCAGGUUGAAAGAACCACUUUGGUUUCUGGAGGACCGAACCGGUGAAUGUUGCAAAAUUCUCGGAUGAGGAAUGGAAAGGAGUGAAAGGCUAAUCAAGCCUGGGGAUAGCUGGUUCUCCGCGAAAUCUAUGUAGGUAGACUGUCCAUGUUUCUUCUCGGAGGUAGAGCACUUGUUGGAUGCCGGGAGCCCAAAACUUUACGAAGUCCAGUGAAACUCCGAAGGCCGACGAAGAAUACAUGGGUGGACAGACUUUGGGUGCGAAGAUCCAAGGUCGAGAGGGGAAGAGCCCAGACCGUCCGCUAAGGUCCCAAAGUGUGGUCUGAGUGAACAAGGAAGUCUUUGUGCAUUGACACUCAGGAGAUGGGCUUGGAAGCAGCCGUUCUAUGAUGAUCGCGUACCAGCGCACUGAGGGAGCACAAAGGCGCCGAAAAUACUCGGGACUGAAGACCACCACCGAAACGACGGAAGAU